RNAcentral lists this long non-coding RNA (212 nucleotides) under Capsicum annuum. RNAcentral describes it as "long non-coding RNA (CANN_LNC018088)". Lineage: Eukaryota; Viridiplantae; Streptophyta; Magnoliopsida; Solanales; Solanaceae. The record is from RNAcentral.
GACCCCCCACCACCAAUAAGCUUGGACAAGCCCAACCCUAGCAAUGCUAAACCAGCACCAAUUGCAACUUUUUUUAUAGCUUCGUUUUCUUCAGAUGACAGAUCAUUGGCCAUCAACUGCUCUGAAUUCUUUGGAGUGCUUUCAGAUGACCCCAUUCUACUUUCAAUCUCAAAAAGUAGAGUUUCUGAUUAGUGCUAAUAGAAAUGUAGUAU